Molecule: non-coding RNA, 282 nt
Organism: Lupinus albus (white lupine)
Lineage: Eukaryota; Viridiplantae; Streptophyta; Magnoliopsida; Fabales; Fabaceae
Source: the annotation of a GenBank genome assembly
UUUGUCUUCACCGGAAGUAUUUAUUUGUUUAACUUAUCAAAAGCAAUAAUAUUUUCUGGUGUAAAUAUUAUCCAAAUAAAUUCUACCCUCGAACCCUUCGAUCAAAGCAGUGCAGUUUUUCACUCACCAAAUCCUUCUUCACAUUCAAGUUUGGAAUUUGAUAUGCAGAAGAAGUCGACAUUGCCAUUGAAUGACGGAAGACACCACCACAUUGCCGAUCACCGCAUCGCCACACACCGCAUCGCCACAUUGCGUGGUGUGUUGCGGUGGUCGGCAAUGUAG